Molecule: ribosomal RNA, 254 nt
Filed under: uncultured bacterium
Lineage: Bacteria
Description: partial 16S ribosomal RNA
Rfam family: Bacterial small subunit ribosomal RNA
Source: RNAcentral
UACGGAGGGUGCGAGCGUUGUCCGGAAUCAUUUGGCGUAAAGGGCGCGUAGGUGGCCCGGUCAGUUCGUGGUGAAAGCGCGGGGCUCAACCCUGCGUCGGCCAUGAAUACUGCCGCGGCUGGAGCACUGUAGAGGCAGGCGGAAUUCCGGGUGUAGCGGUGGAAUGCGUAGAGAUCCGGAAGAACACCGGUGGCGAAGGCGGCCUGCUGGGCAGUGGCUGACGCUGAUGCGCGACAGCGUGGGGAGCAAACAGG